AUGGGGCUGUCUCAAAGGGGCUUUUCCUGCAACCACACAUCAUUGGAAAUCCUUCCCAGAGUAACUCUGUGGUUUUGCUUUACUCACAGGACUGAUUUGUAAUCUGUGGGAGGGACUGCAAGGCAGUC
Small nucleolar RNA from Ochotona curzoniae (black-lipped pika), 128 nucleotides. The record is from RefSeq and is a predicted model, not a curated record. NCBI's taxonomy places the organism in Eukaryota, Metazoa, Chordata, Mammalia, Lagomorpha, Ochotonidae.